This 433-nucleotide ribosomal RNA is filed under the name uncultured bacterium. RNAcentral's name for it is "partial 16S ribosomal RNA". It matches the Rfam family "Bacterial small subunit ribosomal RNA", at positions 29 to 507 of the family's 1533-position model. The record is from RNAcentral.
AACGAACGCUGGCGGCAGGCCUAACACAUGCAAGUCGAACGGACCGCACGGGGUCAGCGGCGGAGGGGAGUGUAACGCGUGGGAAUAUGCCCUUCUCCACGAAAUAGUAUGGAGACACGUGCUGAUACCGUGUAUGCGCUCUUUGGGGGAAAGAUAUAUGGGGGAAGGAUUAGCCCGCGUUGGAUUAGGUAGUUGGUGGGGUAAUGGCCUACCAAGGCGACGAUCCAUAGCUGGUUUGAGAGGAUGAUCAGCCACACUGGGACUGAGACACGGCCCAGACUCCUACGGGAGGCAGCAGUGGGGAAUCUUAGACAAUGGGGGCAACCCUGAUCUAGCCAUGCCGCGUGAGUGAUGAAGGCCUUAGGGUUGUAAAGCUCUUUCAGCUGAGAAGAUAAUGACGGUACCAGGAGAAGAAGCCCCGGCUAACUCCGUG